Daphnia carinata is the source of this 431-nucleotide long non-coding RNA. RefSeq lists it as uncharacterized. The record is from RefSeq and is a predicted model, not a curated record. The transcript has 3 exons. NCBI's taxonomy places the organism in Eukaryota, Metazoa, Arthropoda, Branchiopoda, Diplostraca, Daphniidae.
UCGACAAUUUUGGCGCGGAAAAAGUAAACUUUCUUUUGUUUUUGACGUCCUCAUUUCUUCUUCUGAAUAGCUAUGUAAGGCAAACAGUCCAGGAACUGAGUUUGUUGAACAAUCAAAAUUUAUCUUGGACAUUUACAUAAAAAGAAUGGAACAUUAUCCUGCAAAGCACCUUCUUCUAAAUGAUCAACGGCAGGGAUCUUAUUCACCAUCUGAAGAGCUAAAGAUUAAAUAAGCUAUUGCUUUUGAUUACUUCUGCUGAGGUGUUUAGGAAGAUAGAUGCAGUGACGAAGAUGUGUCAUCACAGCAGAAUAAAUGUAAAAGCAAGUUAGUCAGCAAAAUAAGUGCCUCGCAUUAUUUACCACUACUGAACAAUUUUGAGCUGAUGAUACCUGGUACUAUCAUUUUCUUUGGUCUGCGAAGAAUCUUGGAUG